Acomys russatus (golden spiny mouse) is the source of this 168-nucleotide small nuclear RNA. RefSeq annotates it as U1 spliceosomal RNA. The transcript has a single exon. Lineage: Eukaryota; Metazoa; Chordata; Mammalia; Rodentia; Muridae. The record is from RefSeq and is a predicted model, not a curated record.
AUACUUACUUGGCAGGGGAGACACCAUGACCACGAAGGUGGUUCUCCAGGGCGAGGCUCACCCAUUGCGCUGUGGGGUGUGCUGAUCCCUGCGAUUUCCCCCAAAGGAGGAAACUCGACUGCGUAACUUGUGGAAAUGGGGGACUGCGUGCGGUCAUGCUCUCCCCUG